UGGUUGGGUGGUAAAACGCAUGUCUUCCAAACAAAGGGCCCAGGUUCGAAUCCUGG
RNAcentral lists this transfer RNA (56 nucleotides) under Biomphalaria glabrata. It matches the Rfam family "tRNA", at positions 8 to 63 of the family's 71-position model. From Rfam's summary of the family: Transfer RNA (tRNA) molecules are approximately 80 nucleotides in length. Their secondary structure includes four short double-helical elements and three loops (D, anti-codon, and T loops). The record is from Rfam by way of RNAcentral. Lineage: Eukaryota; Metazoa; Mollusca; Gastropoda; Planorbidae.